GACUUCCUACGGGGGGCAGCAGUGGGGAAUAUUGCACAAUGGGGGAAACCCUGAUGCAGCAACGCUGCGUGAGUGAAGAAGUAUUUCGGUAUGUAAAGCUCUAUCAGCAGGGAAGAAGAAAGACGGUACCUGACUAAGAAGCCCCGGCUAACUACGUGCCAGCAGCCGCGGUAAUACGUAGGGGGCAAGCGUUAUCCGGAAUUACUGGGUGUAAAGGGAGCGCAGGCGGGAAGCCAAGUCAGCUGUGAAAACUACGGGCUUAACUUGUAGACUGCAGUUGAAACUGGUUUUCUUGAGUGAAGUAG
This 305-nucleotide ribosomal RNA is filed under the name uncultured bacterium. RNAcentral describes it as "bacterial SSU rRNA". It matches the Rfam family "Bacterial small subunit ribosomal RNA", at positions 333 to 654 of the family's 1533-position model. The record is from RNAcentral.